RNAcentral lists this ribosomal RNA (403 nucleotides) under bacterium. Its description in RNAcentral is "partial 16S ribosomal RNA". It matches the Rfam family "Bacterial small subunit ribosomal RNA", at positions 355 to 776 of the family's 1533-position model. The record is from RNAcentral.
UGGGGAAUAUUGCACAAUGGGGGAAACCCUGAUGCAGCGACGCCGCGUGAACGAAGAAGGUAUUCGUGUCGUAAAGUUCUGUCCUAUGGGAAGAUAAUGACAGUACCAUAGAAGAAAGCUCCGGCUAAAUACGUGCCAGCAGCCGCGGUAAUACGUAUGGAGCGAGCGUUGUCCGGAAUUAUUGGGCGUAAAGGGUACGCAGGCGGUUUAAUAAGUCGAAUGUUAAAGAUCGGGGCUCAACCCCGUAAAGCAUUGGAAACUGAUAAACUUGAGUAGUGGAGAGGAAAGUGGAAUUCCUAGUGUAGUGGUGAAAUACGUAGAUAUUAGGAGGAAUACCAGUAGCGAAGGCGACUUUCUGGACACAAACUGACGCUGAGGUACGAAAGCGUGGGGAGCAAACAGG